GCAUAUAUUUUACUGCAAACUAAGCUUAGCCUUUAUUUUAAGGUCACAGGAUUUGCCACCAUCUAAUGCUUGAGGAGCUGGUUUUUGUUUCUUAACUGCAAAACAAAGGCGGCCUUCACAGGCAUUGAUGUACAGUUAGUUCAUUUGUUCAUUUGUUGAAAACAGGAAAAGUCUCUCGGGCAAGAUAGAAGCAAUCCCCCGAAAGG
Molecule: unclassified non-coding RNA, 206 nt
Filed under: Hevea brasiliensis (rubber tree)
Lineage: Eukaryota; Viridiplantae; Streptophyta; Magnoliopsida; Malpighiales; Euphorbiaceae
Source: RNAcentral